GUGGGGGUUCCCCCUUCGUCCCAAGGCUGCAGGAUGGUGUCCUGGAUGAUCUGUUGCCUGGUGGUGUUGGUGUUUGGGAUGCUGUACCCAGCUUAUGCUUCCUACAAGGCUGUGAAGACCAAGAACAUUCGUGAAUAUGUCCGGUGGAUGAUGUACUGGAUAGCCUUUGCACUGUUCAUGGCUGUGGAGACCUUCACAGACAUCUUUAUUCCCUGGUUCCCUUUCUACUACGAGAUCAAAAUGGCCUUUGUGCUGUGGUUGCUAUCACCUUACACCAAAGGGGCCAGCCUGCUUCACCACAAGUUUGUCCACCCAUCCUUGUCCUGUCAUGAGAACGAGAUUGACACCUGCACCGUGCAGGCCAAGGAGCGCAGCUAUGAGACGGUGCUCAUCUUUGGGAAAUGGAGCCUCAACAUUGCUGCUUCAGCCACUGUGCAGGCUGCCACCAAGAGUCAGGGUGCACUGGCCGGGAGGCUGCAAAGCUUCUCCAUGCAGGACCUGCGCUCCAUCCCUGAUGUCCUUGCCCCCGCCUACCAGGAUCCCCUCUACCUGGAGGACCAAGUACCUCGCCGCAGGCCACCCAUUGGGUACCUCACGCUCCCUGAAGGUUCGGACAAGGAAAAAGACCAUUUCUUCAGACAUGAACAGCUAGGGUCUGCAGAGCCUGGUCUAAUCUUACCUCUUGCUUUAUGGGGCGCUGGGGGCUGUUUGGAGGGGGCCUCUGGCUGCACGUCUGACCUGCCUACACCAGCCGCUCAGGCUCUGUCCUCCUGGCUUCUGGUGUCGUUAAGGGCCAGGUGCUGCCGGGGCCAUGCACAGGGCUAUACCUGUAAUGUACCAAAGCAGGCUGGGCCCAGGAUUCUAUUUAUUGUCUUUCUCAUCCUUCUACCCUCCCGGGUGUGUGGGACCAGAGUCCUUCCCAAACCUCUGCAAGUGA
This is an RNA transcript of Zalophus californianus (California sea lion), 937 nucleotides long. It is a transcript of the gene named receptor expression-enhancing protein 4-like, with no coding region annotated. Lineage: Eukaryota; Metazoa; Chordata; Mammalia; Carnivora; Otariidae. The record is from RefSeq and is a predicted model, not a curated record. The transcript is spliced from 2 exons.